RNAcentral lists this ribosomal RNA (264 nucleotides) under uncultured bacterium. Its description in RNAcentral is "partial 16S ribosomal RNA". It matches the Rfam family "Bacterial small subunit ribosomal RNA", at positions 57 to 305 of the family's 1533-position model. The record is from RNAcentral.
GCAAGUCGAACGUGAAAGUUUCCUUCGGGAAGCAAGUAAAGUGGCGCACGGGUGAGUAACACGUGGAUAAUCUACCCGACAAUCAGGGAUAACAUUUCGAAAGAGAUGCUAAUACCGGAUAAGCCCACAAUGUCUUAGGAUGAUGUGGGAAAAGGUGGGGACCUUCGGGCCUGCCGUUGCUGGAUGAGUCCGCGGCCCAUUAGCUAGUUGGUAGGGUAAUGGCCUACCAAGGCUACGAUGGGUAGCUGGUCUGAGAGGAUGAUC